GACGAACGCUGGCGGCGUGCCUAACACAUGCAAGUCGAACGGAAAGGCCCUGCUUUUGUGGGGUGCUCGAGUGGCGAACGGGUGAGUAACACGUGAGUAACCUGCCCUUGACUUUGGGAUAACUUCAGGAAACUGGGGCUCAUACCGGAUAGGAUCUCCUGCUGCAUGGUGGGCGUUGGAAAGUUUCGGCGGUUGGGGAUGGACUGGCGGCUUAUCAGCUUGUUGGUGGGGUAGUGGCUUACCAAGGCUUUGAAGGGUAGCCGGCCUGAGAGGGUGACCGGCCACAUGGGGACUGAGAUACGGCCCAGACUCCUACGGGAGGCAGCAGUGGAGAAUAUGACACAAUAGGCGGGAGCCUGAUGCAGCAACGCCGCGUGCGGGAUGACGGCCUUCGGGUUGUAAACCGCUGUCGCCUGUGACGAAGCGUGAGUGACGGUAAUGGGUAAAGAAGCACCGGCUAACUACGUG
This 468-nucleotide ribosomal RNA is filed under the name uncultured bacterium. Its description in RNAcentral is "partial 16S ribosomal RNA". It matches the Rfam family "Bacterial small subunit ribosomal RNA", at positions 28 to 507 of the family's 1533-position model. The record is from RNAcentral.